RNAcentral lists this long non-coding RNA (765 nucleotides) under Medicago truncatula (barrel medic). Its description in RNAcentral is "lncRNA gene40247". The record is from RNAcentral. Lineage: Eukaryota; Viridiplantae; Streptophyta; Magnoliopsida; Fabales; Fabaceae.
UCAUCUCCCUCCCUUCCAUCCCUUUCUCCACCAUCUCCUUACUUUGUUCUUCAUCACCAUCACCACUAUCUUCCCAUAAAAACCAUCACUGUCUUUAAAUAUACCUUUAAUUUCCCUUCCAUUUGUUCUCACUAACAAAAUAAAAUCAAACCAAUAUACCCAUUCUUCACACACAUUUCAAAAUUCAAUAACCAUUCUUCUCCACCUCUCCCUUCUAUGCAAUUUUCUCUUUUUCAGAACACCCAUUUUCUUCUCUUCUCUCUUUUUCAGAAACCACCACCGCCAACACCACGAUCCACCACCGGAUUCAGAUUUGAAUGGGUUUGAAUCGGACCCAAUCAACAACAACACACAAAAACACUCAUUUUCGGAUCCAAAAACAACAACAACAACACACAAACAACCCAUUUUCGGAUCGAAUCAAAUAAGAAGGGAAUAGAAGAGAAGGAUGAAGAAAAAAAAGGGUUAGAAUUUUCGGGCCCUUUUGUUUUUAUUGGUUUUUUUGGGACUCAUUUUCGUCUGUUGUUGAUGUUGACAUUGUGUUGUUGUUGAAGAUGAGUUGAUAAUUUGGGAAGAAGAAGCUGGAGAAUAAGAAGUUUCUAAGAAGGUUAUUGUUUGUGAUUUGGAGAAGAAGGAGAAUUUUGUAAGAAGGGUGGAAAAGGAGUGAGUAAGAGAAGGAUGAAGAGAAGAAGAAGGAGGGAGUAAGAGAAGAGAACGGUGGAGAGAGAGGAGAGAAAAGAAGAUGAAUUAUUAUUAUUAUUAUUU